RNAcentral lists this ribosomal RNA (2663 nucleotides) under Dictyopteris divaricata. Its description in RNAcentral is "23S ribosomal RNA". It matches the Rfam family "Bacterial large subunit ribosomal RNA". Lineage: Eukaryota; Phaeophyceae; Dictyotales; Dictyotaceae. The record is from RNAcentral.
AUAUAUUGUUUUUAGCAUGAAAUGGAUGCCUUGGGAGUAUUUAUUAUAGGCGUAACUCACGAAAUAAUUGGGGUAAAUUUAAGUAUUUGUGAUCCCAAUAUCCCUAUGUUGACAAAUUAGAACCACAAGGUUCGCUGUUUUAUCAGAUUAUACAAGGGGAAGUGAAACAUCUCAGUACCCUUAAGUUAACAAAAAUCAACCGAGAGGUCGUUAGUAGUGGUGAGCGAACACGAUAUAGGCAUAAAACCAAAGAUUGUUGGGGCUUGAAAAUCCAUAGAAGGUGUUAGUCCUGUAGGGCCUUAAAUUUUUGGUUGGUAUUAAGUAAGAUGAGUCAAGUUGACCUUGUCCGAUAAAUGGGGGACCACCCUCAAAGCCUACGAUUAAAUUACUCACCGAUAGUGAACAAGUACCGUGAGGGAAAGGUGAAAUAGAAGUUUUGACAGUGCAAAGAUCCUGAAAUUUCAUGUUUGAGUCGAAGUAAUUUAAUUUACAACGGCCUACCUUUUGUAUAAUGGGCGAGUGAAUCUUGGCAAUGGGCAAGCUUAAGUUGAUACAAACGAAAGCGAAGAUAAAUCGAGUUAUAACAGGCGGUUAUAGUCCUUUGCCAAGUACCCGAAACCGACUGAUCUAAACUUGAGCAGGCUGAUAUUGUAAUAGAAAUAUUCUUUGGAGGGCCGAACCCGUGUGUGUGGCAAAAUACUGGGAUGAUUUGAGUUUAGGGGUGAAAGGCCAAUCAAAGUCGGUUAUAGCUGGAUUUCUGCGAAAUCUAUUUAAGUAGAGCAUCCUAAUACAGAGAGCUGGGGGUAGAGCACUGUGCGAGCAAGGGGGAUAUUAUAUUUUACUAAGCUCCGGCAAACUCCGAAUACCAGUUGUUUUAUUUAGGGUAGACAGAACACGAAUGCUAAGAUUCGUGUUCAAGAGGGAAACAGCCCAGACUAAAAGUUAAGGUCCACAAAAUAGUUUCAGUGAAAAAGGUGACUUAUCUUCCAAGACAACCAGGAGGUAGGCUUGGAAGCAGCCACCCUUUAAAGAUAGCGUAAUAGCUCACUGGUCUAGAAAAUAUGUCCCAUUAAUUCUGAGGGCUUAAAACUAUUACCGAAACUUUAGAAAGAUAAAAUUUUAUCUUUGGUAGCAGAACGUUCCGUAGUUUAAGAAGCUCAAUUGUAAGGUUGUAGUGGAGAUAUCGGAAGUGAGAAUACUUGCAUGAGUAGCAUAAAACAACGUCAAAGCGUUGUGGCCGAAAGUCUAAGGUUUCCGAUCUAAGGUACAACCGGGUCGGUUUAUAAACGGUCCCUAAGCUUUUGAUCCAAUGAUUUGGGUAAUGGGUAAGUUUUAACUGUAAGGAGUUGCUGACGUAAAAUUCACCCUAUUUAGAAUACAGUUUCUACGUAGAUUUUUUUUUCCAAGAAAUAGGCACUCCGUUAAUACCGUACCUUAAACCGCCACAGGUGGACUGGUGUAAGCGCACUAAGGCCGUGAGAUAACCCUGUUGAAGGAACUCGGCAAAUUGACUCCGUAACUUUGGGAUAAGGAGGGAAAUUGGCUGCGCAAGCAGCCAAUUUUGGCACGUAAUGAGGGGUAGCGACUGUUUAAUAAAAACACAGGUCUCUGCUAACUCGUAAGAGGAUGUAUAGGGGCUGACACCUGCCCGGUGCUGGUAGGGUAAUCUUUUGUGUAUUCGCACGAAUGUUAAACCUCAGUAAACGGCGGCUGUAACUAUGACGGUCCUAAGGUAGCGAAAUUCCUUGUCGGGUAAGUUCCGACCUGCAUGAAUGGUGUAACGACUUCCCCACUGUCUCCAACAGGGACUCAGUGAAAUUACAAAGAUCGUGAAGAUGCGGUCAUCCUGCAGUUGGACGGAAAGACCCCGUGCACCUUUACUAUAAAUAUAUAUUGUAAAACAAAUUUUAAAGUGUAGUAUAGGUGGGAGCAAAUGAUAUCUUUUCGCCAGAAAACAGUUAAUGCGACAGUGAAAUACCACCCCCUGAAAUAUUGUUUUACUUACUUUUUAAGGACAGUGUGUAUUUGGUAGUUUGACUGGGGCGGUCACCUCCUAAAGAGUAACGGAGGUAUGCAAUGGUAGGUUCAUUUUCUGUCAAGAAAAGAAGAGCACAAUGGUAUAAGCCUGCUUGACUGAAAGGAAGACAUUUCGAUCAGGGACGUAAGUCGGUCAUAGUGAUCCGGUGGUUCUACGUGGAUGGGCCAUCGCGCAAUGGAUAAAAGGUACGCCGGGGAUAACAGGCUAAUGAAUCUCUAGAGCUCCUAUCGACGGGUUCGUUUGGCACCUCGAUGUCGACUCAUCACAUCCUGGAGCUGAAAAAGGUUCCAAGGGUUCGGCUGUUCGCCGACGAAAGUGGUACGUGAGUUGGGUUUAGAACGUCGUGAGACAGUUUGGUCCCUAUCUCCUGCAGGUGUUUGAAAAUUGGGAGGAUUAGACCUUAGUACGAGAGGACCGGGAAAACUUGAUCCCUGGUGUUUCGGCUGUUCCCAAAGGGGCAAGCCGGGUAGCUACAUCGAGAAGAGAUAAUUGACCAUAUAGGCAAGAACCUCGCCUCAAUUUAAAUUUUCAUACGGGGGUGGAAGACUACCACUUUGAUAGGCGGGAGGUGUAAGGGUUGUAAGACCUUCAGCUGACCCGUACUAAUCCCGGCACUCUUUUCUAA